RNAcentral lists this long non-coding RNA (324 nucleotides) under Homo sapiens (human). RNAcentral's name for it is "non-protein coding lnc-BORA-11:1". The record is from RNAcentral. Lineage: Eukaryota; Metazoa; Chordata; Mammalia; Primates; Hominidae.
CCAUUUAAAAUAAAAGGGCCCAUUACUCCUCAGUUUUAUAUGAGCUUACAUGCUUUCAUUGUGCAGAGUGUGUUAUUAAUUUAACAUGCCAGAUUCAUAGGUUUCUGCAAUAUCAGGUUUGAUGUAUUCAUUAUCGGCACUCAGUACAUUAAUUCACGCUGAAGUCCGGUAAAUCAAAAUUAUACCAUCUGGCUUCCUGUUCUUAAUGAUGAAUUUGAUGUAGGGGUGAUUAAGAUUGUUAGGCUUUUGAAUUUUAAUGUAAAAAUUAGGGGAUUAAAAAGGCAUUUAGAAAUGACCAAUAGUUAGAAUAAACUUACUGACAGG